AGAGUUUGAUCCUGGCUCAGGAUGAACGCUGGCGGCGUGCUUAACACAUGCAAGUCGAACGAAGCACUUUAACCUGAUUCUUCGGAUGAAGGUUUUUGUGACUGAGUGGCGGACGGGUGAGUAACGCGUGGGUAACCUGCCUCAUACAGGGGGAUAACAGUUAGAAAUGACUGCUAAUACCGCAUAAGACCACGGAGCUGUAUGGCUCAGUGGGAAAAACUCCGGUGGUAUGAGAUGGACCCGCGUCUGAUUAGGUAGUUGGUGGGGUAACGGCCUACCAAGCCAACGAUCAGUAGCCGACCUGAGAGGGUGACCGGCCACAUUGGGACUGAGACACGGCCCAAACUCCUACGGGAGGCAGCAGUGGGGAAUAUUGCACAAUGGGGGAAACCCUGAUGCAGCGACGCCGCGUGAGCGAAGAAGUAUUUCGGUAUGUAAAGCUCUAUCAGCGGGGAAGAAAAUGACGGUACCUGACUAAGAAGCACCGGCUAAAUACGUGCCAGCAGCCGCGGUAAUACGUAUGGUGCAAGCGUUAUCCGGAUUUACUGGGUGUAAAGGGAGCGUAGACGGCUGUGUAAGUCUGAAGUGAAAGCCCGGGGCUCAACCCCGGGACUGCUUUGGAAACUAUGCAGCUAGAGUGUCGGAGAGGUAAGUGGAAUUCCCAGUGUAGCGGUGAAAUGCGUAGAUAUUGGGAGGAACACCAGUGGCGAAGGGCGGCUUACUGGACGAUGACUGACGUUGAGGCUCGAAAGCGUGGGGAGCAAACAGGAUAAGAUCCCUGGGUAGUCCACGCCGUAAACGAUGACUACUAGGUGUCGGGGAGCAAAGCUCUUCGGUGCCGCAGCAAACGCAAUAAGUAGUCCACCUGGGGAGUACGUUCGCAAGAAUGAAACUCAAAGGAAUUGACGGGGACCCGCACAAGCGGUGGAGCAUGUGGUUUAAUUCGAAGCAACGCGAAGAACCUUACCUGCUCUUGACAUCCCGGUGACCGGCAUGUAAUGAUGCCUUUUCUUCGGAACACCGGUGACAGGUGGUGCAUGGUUGUCGUCAGCUCGUGUCGUGAGAUGUUGGGUUAAGUCCCGCAACGAGCGCAACCCUUAUCUUCAGUAGCCAGCAAUUCGGAUGGGCACUCUGGAGAGACUGCCAGGGAUAACCUGGAGGAAGGUGGGGGAUGACGUCAAAUCAUCAUGCCCCUUAUGAGCAGGGCUACACACGUGCUACAAUGGCGUAAACAAAGGGAAGCGAGCCUGCGAGGGUAAGCAAAUCUCAAAAAUAACGUCUCAGUUCGGAUUGUAGUCUGCAACUCGACUACAUGAAGCUGGAAUCGCUAGUAAUCGCGAAUCAGCAUGUCGCGGUGAAUACGUUCCCGGGUCUUGUACUCACCGCCCGUCA
RNAcentral lists this ribosomal RNA (1392 nucleotides) under uncultured bacterium. RNAcentral's name for it is "bacterial SSU rRNA". It matches the Rfam family "Bacterial small subunit ribosomal RNA". The record is from RNAcentral.